GCCAGGCAUUGUGGUGAGUGCCUGUAGUCCCAGCUACUUGGGAGGCUGAGGCAAGAGAAUCUCCUAAGCCCAGGAGUUGGAGGUUGCUGUGAGCUGUGUGACACCAUGGCACUCUACCAGAAGCGAUAAAGUGAGACUUUCACUCUACAAAAAAGAAAGAAAGAAAGAAAGAAUUUCACUCUGUCAUCCUGGGUAGAGGGGUAGAGAGCAGUGGCAUCACAGCUCACAGCUACCUCAAACUCUUGGGCUCAAGCAAUCCUCUUGUC
This 266-nucleotide small RNA is filed under the name Otolemur garnettii (small-eared galago). Its description in RNAcentral is "Metazoan signal recognition particle RNA (ENSOGAG00000031189.1)". Lineage: Eukaryota; Metazoa; Chordata; Mammalia; Primates; Galagidae. The record is from RNAcentral.